AUCCAGCUGACGAGUCCCAAGCAGGACAAAACACGCGUCCUGGAU
RNAcentral lists this non-coding RNA (45 nucleotides) under Schistosoma mattheei. Lineage: Eukaryota; Metazoa; Platyhelminthes; Trematoda; Strigeidida; Schistosomatidae. The record is from RNAcentral.